This 689-nucleotide unclassified non-coding RNA is filed under the name Hevea brasiliensis (rubber tree). The record is from RNAcentral. Lineage: Eukaryota; Viridiplantae; Streptophyta; Magnoliopsida; Malpighiales; Euphorbiaceae.
CUCUGAAACUGACCACUCCAAGCUGUAAGUAAAAUUUGAUUUAUAGUGAUUUGUCUAAUUUGGUCUUUGAAUGUCCUGUGCAAUUAACUUAUAUAUAGUUCAUCUAGUUGGCUAUUUGUUUGAUUUACCAAAUUUUGAUGCAAUACGUUGAUUUAGUUUGUUGAUAUAGCUCUCAUGUAAUAUAUUUGUGGAGAAAGACAUGUGCCCAUUACAUUGAUGGCUUUUCUGAUGAUGGAUCGUGCGAUUAAGGAAGAACCGCAUUUGAAGCAAUCCUUGGGGAGAGUUCUGCUUCCUCAAUUUCAACUUUAGCGAUAUGAGAGCCUUCUCGUUUGUAUAAAAGGAUCUUUCAUUUUGCCAAAUAUAUAUAAUUUUGCCUUCUAAACUAAUUUUGAAAAGUCUAUUAAAUCCAUUACAUUUUAUUAUGACCUAUUGCAUUCAUAUAUUUUUAUAUUUGACCUAUUGGUUUUUAUUUUUUUGGUGUAGUAUUAGGUAAUGAAUUGGCCCCCUCAUCAAUGAAUAAUUUGAUAAACAUAUAAUUUUUAUAUAUCUUUAUUUCAAAUUAAACUUGAUAAUCUAUUCUAUGAUUCAUUGAUGAGUUGGAAAAAUGUUCCUUUUAGUUAUGAGAAAAAUAUAAGUAAAAAAAUUAGCAUUUAAUAGUUCAAAAAUAAAAAUGUGAGGGUGCAAUAAGU